AGAACGAACGCUGGCGGCAUGCCUAACACAUGCAAGUCGAACGAGACCUUCGGGUCUAGUGGCGCACGGGUGCGUAACGCGUGGGAAUCUGCCCUUGGGUUCGGAAUAACAGCGAGAAAUUGCUGCUAAUACCGGAUGAUGACGUAAGUCCAAAGAUUUAUCGCCCAAGGAUGAGCCCGCGUAGGAUUAGCUUGUUGGUGAGGUAAGAGCUCACCAAGGCGACGAUCCUUAGCUGGUCUGAGAGGAUGAUCAGCCACACUGGGACUGAGACACGGCCCAGACUCCUACGGGAGGCAGCAGUGGGGAAUAUUGGACAAUGGGCGAAAGCCUGAUCCAGCAAUGCCGCGUGAGUGAUGAAGGCCUUAGGGUGUAAAGCUCUUUUACCCGGAUGAUAAUGACAGUACCGGAGAAUAAGCUCCGGCUAACUCCGUGUCAGCAGCCGC
RNAcentral lists this ribosomal RNA (443 nucleotides) under uncultured soil bacterium. RNAcentral describes it as "bacterial SSU rRNA". It matches the Rfam family "Bacterial small subunit ribosomal RNA", at positions 26 to 518 of the family's 1533-position model. The record is from RNAcentral.